RNAcentral lists this transfer RNA (72 nucleotides) under Camelus bactrianus (Bactrian camel). It matches the Rfam family "tRNA". From Rfam's summary of the family: Transfer RNA (tRNA) molecules are approximately 80 nucleotides in length. Their secondary structure includes four short double-helical elements and three loops (D, anti-codon, and T loops). RNAcentral also lists the same sequence under 1 other name. The record is from Rfam by way of RNAcentral. Lineage: Eukaryota; Metazoa; Chordata; Mammalia; Artiodactyla; Camelidae.
GAGGGCAUAGCUCAAUGGUAGAGUGCAUGCUUAGCAUGUAUGAGGUCCUGGGUUCAAUUCCCAGUACCCCCA